RNAcentral lists this unclassified non-coding RNA (329 nucleotides) under soil metagenome. RNAcentral's name for it is "partial contains 5.8S ribosomal RNA, internal transcribed spacer 2, and large subunit ribosomal RNA". The stretch from base 1 to 120 matches the Rfam family "5.8S ribosomal RNA", at positions 35 to 154 of the family's 154-position model. The record is from RNAcentral.
GAUGAAGAACGCAGCGAAAUGCGAUAAGUAAUGUGAAUUGCAGAAUUCAGUGAAUCAUCGAAUCUUUGAACGCAUCUUGCGCUCCUUGGUAUUCCGAGGAGCAUGCCUGUUUGAGUGUCAUUACAACCCUCAAGCUCAGCUUGGUAUUGGGCCCCGCCGACCCGGCGGGCCCUAAAGUCAGUGGCGGUGCCGUCCGGCUCCGAGCGUAGUAAUUCUUCUCGCUCUGGAGGUCCGGUCGUGUGCUCGCCAGCAACCCCCAAUUUUUUUCAGGUUGACCUCGGAUCAGGUAGGGAUACCCGCUGAACUUAAGCAUAUCAAUAAGCGGAGGA